AUGCAGGUCAGAUAUUGUCCCUUUGUAUAUUUAUAACUGCUGUUGAUACUGAAUAUUUAAAAUGAAUCAUGGAGCUGAGGCAGAGGAAUGUAACUUUGAGGCCACCCUGAGCUACACAAGACCCUGCCCCCAAUGAUGAUUUAAGUUAGUGAUAAUGGUGGGCUUCUGUUUUCACCAGUUUCUGAACUAAAUCUAUUAAGUGUGUCUCUGCCUCAAUGACAAAGUUCCUCGUAUCUCAGGGUUUCCCCUUAUAUAUAUUAUGGAGCCUGAUUUCUACAGCUCACUCCUUAGCAUCUUUUAUCUGCAUAGCUUACUAAAGACAGGUCAGAUAUGAAUUCACUCACUCAAGAUAAUGGAUUAGAGAAUCUAUGCUUGGGAUAGAUGGAAUAAGUCUAUUUCAGAUUUCUAUUUCACUUGGGCUUUUCCACAAAUCCCUGGCAUUUUCUCAUACUGGUUUUGUUUUGAGGUUUUUUGUUUGGUUUGAGGGUUUUUUGUUUUUAUUUUUUUAUUUAUUUGUUGUUGUUGUUGUUUGUCUUCUUUUGAGUCAGGGUUUCUCAGUGUAACCAGUCCUGGCUAUUUGGGACUUGGCCUCAAACUCACAAAGAUCUGCUUGCCACUGCCUCCCAAAUGCUAGUACUAAAGGUGUGCGCCACCCACACCUGGCUUAUUGUCUGUCCUUUUGACACAACCUGUCAAAACCCUGUCACCCCCCAUGCUGGGAACCACACUCAGGUCCAAUGUUGUCUAGCAAGUACUCCACCAUCCUUCACAACAGUUUCAACACCUUUCAACUCAGGACAUAUGAAGAGUUGGUAAAGUAGGCCUAUAGCUGUCUCAUCUCAAGAUUUUCCAGGAUAAAGCCCUGGCUAGUCUGACUCUGCACUAUCACAACAGAACUAUAACCUCAGGUUAUAUAGAGUUGUCACCAAAAUUGUUAUGCUUUUCUUUUUUAAAUUCAUAACACUGGAGAUAAACCCAGGAUCUUAUAAAUGCUGAAUAUACUUUCUACCACUCUACACCUAAUAUCAUCUUUUUUUGUUUUUGUUUGGUUUGGUUUGGUUUUUUGAGAUAGGGUUUCUCUGUAUAGCCCUGGCUGUCCUGGAACUCACUUUGUAGACCAGGCUGGCCUCGAAUCCAGAAAUCCGCCUGCCUCUGCCUCCCGAGUUCUGGGAUUAAAGGUGUGUACCACCACGCCUGGCUAAUAUCAUCAUUUUUAACAAGCAGUUUCUCAAAGUGACCUGCCACAGCAGAAAGCUUACCAGCUCAUAGCCUGCUUACAACCUCAGACAAAAGCAAUGCAUGUUGAUCUUAUCACAAGCUCAGUGGUUUUCAUUAAUAAACUUGUCAGAAUGGUUUUGUAUUAGUUUAUAGCUUCUUUGGUGAGAAAAGAUUUGCUAUCCUAAGCUGGUCAAGCAUACUUUCAGGGAAUUACCCCCCAAAUAUCAUAGCACCUACAAGCUAAAAUACAAAACUCAAUUAAGAAAGGAAUACACGGGGGAGAAAAGUGAAGAAGGAUAGAACUGCUCUGGGAUUGUGAAAUCAGUUCCAAUUACAGGACACAACAGUUUAAAACAAAUGUGGGAGUCAGAUUUAGUUCCUACUUCACCAAAACCUUAAGUAUUAGAAGUCCCAAGAGCCUUCUUGUGUGUCUAGACCAGCUGGAUAAUGGAUCUCAAGUAGAGCAAGAGUACGAAGAUCACCUCAGACCUUGUCAUUAUACUGGUACUCAAACAGGUCCUAGGCAAAGAGUAUGCAAUGUUACGGAUGAUCCUGGCCACUACAACUGAGCCCACUAAAAAAUAAACUAGGAAUUUGGAGUCUAAAAAACAAGAGAAGAAAAACAACAACAAAAAGACUGUGUAUUUUUAAUUAGUAUUCAUAUAUGCUCUUAUAAAAAGCUAGUUAUAGCCUCCCAAAUUUCGAAAGUUAGCGACAUUACUUUUCAGAACAUACUGUUUUAUGGUUCCAAAGCGAGUAACAUUAUAUCUUAUUUUUUCCCAAGGACCUCCCUCUUCAUUCUUCAGUUAGGGCCUGUCACCACCUAGUGGACUAUGUAGGAAUAAUACAACCACUACAUCACCACAGUGGCCCACCUCUUCUGUUCUAGAACAAAUCUCUAGACGGAGUUUUCAGAAUCAGAUAAGAGCUCCUGUACCUAUCUAAAAAACCAGUUGGGUAAUUUGUAACUAUAUAAAAUACAGAUUUAAACAAAUAAAAGAUAUGUACUCAAGAUAAUGAAUGGGCUAAAGAAAAACAAAAAUCGCUAUAGACAGCAUAGUACUGGGGUUAAGACAAGCUUUGGUUCCCAAAGAUUAACCUGUUUAACAAAAUUAAUUUCCAAAGCUUAACUUAUCAAGAUAUGAAAAUUUUCAUACCUCAUAACUACAUGAGUUUUCCCCCAGGUUAUAUGGGUCACUCAACUUUCAAACCUCAAUCAGUAAAACCACAUCAACAAAACAUAUACAUCAAGAUACAGAAACUGUAUUUAAACACUUGGGCAUUGUUCAUAAUAAAAAUCCUACCAAGCUACAAAUAGAAAAGGAAGGAAGUUUCCAAAAGCUGAUUGUAUUUUAUCUUUUUUAAUCUAUAGCUUCCUGACCUCAAAACUGGCUAAAAGGCUAGGCGUGGUGGCAGAUGCUUGCAAUCCCAGCAUUUGAAGGCUGCUAUAAGAAGACUGCAAAUCCCAAAUCAAUCCAGGAUACAGGGAGAGAUUCUUUCUC
Molecule: long non-coding RNA, 2720 nt
Filed under: Mus musculus (house mouse)
Lineage: Eukaryota; Metazoa; Chordata; Mammalia; Rodentia; Muridae
Description: long non-coding RNA chr2:38862162-38864882
Source: RNAcentral